AACGAACGCUGGCGGCAUGCCUAACACAUGCAAGUCGAACGAGACCUUCGGGUCUAGUGGCGCACGGGUGCGUAACGCGUGGGAAUCUGCCCUUGGGUUCGGAAUAACAGUUAGAAAUGACUGCUAAUACCGGAUGAUGUCUUCGGACCAAAGAUUUAUCGCCCAGGGAUGAGUCCGCGUAGGAUUAGCUAGUUGGUGGGGUAAAGGCCUACCAAGGCGACGAUCCUUAGCUGGUCUGAGAGGAUGAUCAGCCACACUGGGACUGAGACACGGCCCAGACUCCUACGGGAGGCAGCAGUGGGGAAUAUUGCGCAAUGGCGAAAGCCUGACGCAGCGACGCCGCGUGGGUGAUGAAGGCCUCGGUCGUAAGACCUCGUCGCAGGGGAAGGAAGUAAAGACGAA
Molecule: ribosomal RNA, 402 nt
Filed under: uncultured bacterium
Lineage: Bacteria
Description: bacterial SSU rRNA
Rfam family: Bacterial small subunit ribosomal RNA
Source: RNAcentral